Non-coding RNA from Paramuricea clavata, 229 nucleotides. The record is from the annotation of a GenBank genome assembly. NCBI's taxonomy places the organism in Eukaryota, Metazoa, Cnidaria, Anthozoa, Malacalcyonacea, Plexauridae.
AAGAUAAUAACCAAAGCCACCCCUAAAUGUUGCCUCGAAACAUCCCUUUCUUUUCAAAUUGAACAUGGCACCAGUAUCACGAAAUCGAAAUUGUGCAUCUGGAUCCAGACAGUUGUUGGAAAGUUCCACAAAAGAUAACUUUCCCCAAGUCUCCUCCGAUUGUAGUAGUCUUGUGUCAUUUAUACACAUCCCUGUCUGUACAUGUUUCACAAAGAAGCAAGCAGCGCCU